UACGCCGCUGCUCGCAUACUGCUUUUCCAAAAUCAAAGCCGAUGCUCGCAUACCUACUCGUCAUAUUUCAACCGAGGUUUUCCAAAAUCAAAGACCUAACAGGGUCAUUAUAUUUCACGCCUUCACUCACUAGUUUCCCACGCAGUGAGCAACCGUUGUAAAUCUCCAAGAAAUCCGAUCAUCUUCCUUCCCAAAACUGAAACCCAAAGUCAGGUACGCUAUUUUCCUCUCCCACUUCUCUUUAUUAUGAUUUUUCUUGUAUUUCGAUCUAUUCAUUACCAUUAAAUCUCAUAUUACAACCGAGUUUUUCAAAAUCUAAGAUUAAAGCCUUUCCGCCUUCACUCCCUGUUUCCCACGAAGUGAGAGCAGCCGCUGUAAAUCUCCCUCAAAAUCAAUCAUCUUCCUUUCCAAAAGCUGAAACCCAAACUCAGUGAGAGCAACCGUUGUCAAGAACCCCUGAAGAAACUCGAUCAUCUUUCUUCCCAAAAGCUGAAACCCUAAGUUAGAUAUGAGGCAGAAUAUGGAGGAUACUAAACUGCAGAAACAAGCUACGGUACUAUUGUGAAGGUUUGGUAGCAUUUGGACGAGUAACAUAUUAAAGUUAUGUCUAGAAGUUGGAUUGCAAGGUCGAAGGAACCAUGUUUUAGGGCAUCCCCAUUAUAUUGGGAGGAAGUAAAAAAAUUCCUUGAUCAUGCAUUCAGUCAUGUUGAUCUAGGGGGAAUGAUCUUAUGCCCAUGUGUGAAGUGCAUAAAUCAAUUGUUAAAGACUCGCGAAGAAGUGUUUGAAGAUCUCAUAUUGAAUGGAUUUCUAAGGAGUUACACAAUUUGGAGUUUCCAUGGAGAAGCUUCAACUUCAAAUACAGCUCCGGAUGUACAUAAUGUGGUAUGUGAUGAAGGUGAUAGGUUUGAUAGCACACAGAACAUGUUAAAUGAGUUAUGGGGGAGAGAUGCACUUGAAGCAACUGAGAAUCGUGCCACAGGUGAGCCUGUAAUGGGGCAAAAUAUUGAGGCAGAGAAGUUCGAGAGAUUAAUGGAAGAUGCAAAACAAGAAUUAUAUCCCAGAUGUAAUAAGUUUACUAAGUUGUCCUUCCUUAUUCAGCUAUAUCAUAUAAAGUGUCUCUGCAAUUUGAGUGACAAA
Macadamia integrifolia is the source of this 1137-nucleotide long non-coding RNA. RefSeq lists it as uncharacterized. The transcript is spliced from 4 exons. NCBI's taxonomy places the organism in Eukaryota, Viridiplantae, Streptophyta, Magnoliopsida, Proteales, Proteaceae. The record is from RefSeq and is a predicted model, not a curated record.